AUGCUACGGUCCCGACUGUUCUAUAUUUGCUCCAUUAUCUUCGCAUUCUAUUUUGCCCAUGUGCAACCGACGACUGAACAGAUCACGGCACCAUGGGAAGUCGAUGCUUUGAGAGCUAUCAGAGGCAGCUUGAGUGAUCCACUGGGUCGUCUCGAUAACUGGAACCGUGGAGAUCCAUGCGUCGGAAAUUGGUCCCGUGUUAUCUGUUACAACGUAACAGCAAGCGAUGGAUACUUUCAUGUGCGGCAACUGGAGCUUCUACGGUUAAAUUUAUCUAGGACUUUGGCCCCUGAGCUUGGCCAGCUGUCUCGCAUGAAAAUAAUGGAUUUUAUGUGGAACUCAAUUGGUGGGAGCAUUCCUAAGGAGGUUGGCAACAUUACUUCUCUGGAACUAUUGCUCUUAAAUGGGAACCAGUUGACUGGUCCUUUACCAGAGGAAAUUGGCUUCCUUCCUAAUUUGAAUAGGAUUCAGAUUGAUCAGAACCAUAUAUCAGGAUCCAUACCUAAAUCAUUCGCUAACCUGAACAAAACCGAGCACUUUCACAUGAACAAUAAUUCGUUGAGUGGUCAAAUUCCACCUGAACUGUCCAGAUUACCUUCACUUGUUCAUCUAUUGUUGGAUAACAACAACUUAUCGGGCUAUCUUCCUCCAGAAUUAUCACAGCUACCAAAACUGCUCAUUGUCCAGCUAGACAAUAACAACUUCUCAGGAAGUUCAAUUCCUUCAUCUUAUGGCAAUAUCACAACACUUCUGAAAUUGAGUUUGAGAAACUGCAGCUUGGAAGGCCCCGCUCUUGAUGCCAGUGGAAUACCGCAACUUGGCUACUUGGAUAUUAGUUGGAAUCAGUUGACGGGUCGUAUACCAUCUGGCAAACUAGCGAGCAACAUAACUACAAUAGAUCUUUCCCACAAUCGUCUUAACGGUUCUAUUCCUGGAAGUUUCUCCGGCCUUCCUAAUCUCCAAAGAUUGUCAAUGGAUAAUAAUAACUUGGAUGGUUCUGUUCCAUCUGAUGUCUGGCAAAAUAUUGAUUUCAGUGGAAAUAGAAGCCUGAUAUUGGAUUUCCAUAACAACGCUCUCACGAAUCUAUCGAAUCCUCUUACACACCCUGCGAAUGUUACCAUCCUGUUAUCUGGAAACCCCAUAUGCACAUCGCAAAAUCAACUGAAUAUAUCUCAGUAUUGUCAAUCAAUUUCAGUUGUUGUUCCUGGAGGUUCCACAAAUAACAAUACACUUUGUCCACCAUGCUCAACCGACCUUCCUUACGAAAACAUACUAAGGUCACCAAUCUCAUGCUUAUGUGCUAUUCCACUUUACGUUGAUUACCGGCUGAAGAGUCCAGGAUUCUGGGAUUUUGUUCCGUACGAAGCUGAAUUUCAAUACUACUUGUCAUCUGGUCUUUCAUUGUCCUCGUAUCAAUUGGAAGUCUCUACUUUUAUGUGGGAAGAAGGCCCGAGGUUGAAGAUGAACCUGAAGCUUUUCCCAAACAACACUGCGUUGUUUAACUCUGGUGAAGUGCUGAGACUGAGAGACAUGUUCACAGGGUGGCUCAUCACGGACUCGGAUAUAUUUGGGCCCUAUGAGCUUAUCGACUUCAUCCCAGGGUGGUACGAAAAUGCGAUAAGAAUUCAGAUGAAAAUUGAGGGCGUAAAAGACCUCACUUUUGAAGAAUUAUCAAAGUGUACAAGCAAUUUUAGUGACUCGGCACUAAUUGGUCAAGGAGGGUACGGAAAAGUAUACAGGGGGGUUCUGGUUGAUGGAACAGGAGCUGCAGUAAAACGUACACAACAGGGAUCUCUUCAGGGUUCAGAGGAGUUCUUCACAGAGAUAGAAUUGUUGUCCAGGCUGCACCACCGAAACCUGGUUUCUUUGGUUGGUUAUUGCGACGAAGAUAAUGAGCAGAUGCUGGUGUAUGAGUAUAUGCCAAAUGGUACUCUACGUGAUCAUCUUUCAGCUAAAGCUAAAGAAGCUCUAAGUUUUCCCAUGAGGUUACGAAUUGCACUGGGAUCAUCACGAGGGAUCCUCUAUUUGCACACGGAAGCUGACCCUCCGAUAUAUCAUCGUGACAUCAAGACUAGCAACAUUUUAUUGGACUCGAAGUUUGUAGCAAAGGUUGCUGAUUUUGGUCUCUCGAGGCUUGCCCCACUGCCGGAAAUGGAGGGGGUUGCCCCUGGUCAUGUGUCCACUGUCGUAAAGGGUACCCCGGGUUAUCUUGAUCCGGAGUAUUUCCUCACGCAUAAUCUGACGGACAAGAGCGACGUGUACAGCCUCGGUGUUGUUUUUCUGGAACUGCUGACAGGGAUGCAGCCCAUUUCUCAUGGGAAAAACCUGGUCAGAGAGGUUGUGACGGCGAACCAGUCAGGGAUGAUACUGCCGGUGGUUGACACGCGGAUGGGACCGUGCCCAUGGGAGUGCGUGGAGAGGUUCGCGGCACUGGGGCUGCGGUGCUGCCGGGACGAGACGGAUGCGAGGCCGUCCAUGACGGAGGUGGUGCGGGAGCUGGAGAUGAUAUGGCAGAUGGCGCUAGAGACAGAUAGCGUGCCGUUGGAGUUGGAGUCGGAGUCGGUGUCCAUGGACCCCUGCCGCACAGGCACGCAGCUGUCGUCGGGCGUCGUCCGCCGGGGGGUCGAUGAUGGCCUACCAGUACAUGUCGUCGCCGGACGUCUCCGGCAGCAACCUGCUCAGCGGCGUGGUGCCCAGCACCAACCCUCGCUGAGAAAAUGUGAGAGCCUAAUUAGUUGGUGA
Molecule: ribosomal RNA, 2742 nt
Filed under: Triticum aestivum (bread wheat)
Lineage: Eukaryota; Viridiplantae; Streptophyta; Magnoliopsida; Poales; Poaceae
Description: partial small subunit ribosomal RNA
Source: RNAcentral